AUACGUAGGUGGCAAGCGUUGUCCGGAUUUACUGGGCGUAAAGGGUGCGUAGGCGGAUAUUUAAGUGGGAUGUGAAAUACCUGAGCUCAACUCGGGUGCUGCAUUCCAAACUGGAUAUCUAGAGUGCAGGAGAGGAGAAUGGAAUUCCUAGUGUAGCGGUGAAAUGCGUAGAGAUUAGGAAGAACACCAGUGGCGAAGGCGAUUCUCUGGACUGUAACUGACGCUGAGGCACGAAAGCGUGGGUAGCAAACAGGAUUAGAUACCCUGGUAGUCCACGCCGUAAACUAUGAAUACUAGGUGUAGGGGGGAACCUCCCUCUGUGCCGCAGUUAACACAAUAAGUAUUCCGCCUGGGGAGUACGGUCGCAAGACUAAAACUCAAAUGAAUUGGCGGGG
This 395-nucleotide ribosomal RNA is filed under the name uncultured bacterium. RNAcentral's name for it is "partial 16S ribosomal RNA". It matches the Rfam family "Bacterial small subunit ribosomal RNA", at positions 523 to 918 of the family's 1533-position model. The record is from RNAcentral.